Molecule: unclassified non-coding RNA, 508 nt
Filed under: Hevea brasiliensis (rubber tree)
Lineage: Eukaryota; Viridiplantae; Streptophyta; Magnoliopsida; Malpighiales; Euphorbiaceae
Source: RNAcentral
GCGCUUUUAUGCCCGAAGGGAAAGUUGAUCUCUUGGGAACCAAAUUACCCAGAGAGUCUCUGCUUGAUUCGCCCCAGCAGUCAUCAAUAUUAAUAUACCGAUAGCCUAGCGCAGCGAGCCCGGUCGACACCAUCGCAUCCGCUGUUUUGCGGAUCAGAUCUUCGUUGAUAUCACAGUAGAAAUGGUUCCAGCUAUUCCACCCCAUCUGCGGGGUUCUUCCCAGACCGUUCUCCAGCACGGACCUCCUCUCGGUCGCCGGACCAGCAUCCGUCGCAACCCUACCGCCCAUCACCACCGCUGGCGCCGCCAGCAGUAACCAGCAGGACAUCAGAAACGCCACCAUCUUCUUCCGCUCUCUCCCCCUCAAGCUCCUGUGAAGAGUGUUGAUGGAUGGUAAGGGGAGCUCAGAGUCCGGCUUAUAUAGGCCUCGGGACGAGCGCGCCUUCUUCGCCAGUGUCGGCAGGGUGGUAGAUGGUGGACUGUGGGGUGUGAUGGAUGGAGAGGAUGG